Molecule: long non-coding RNA, 284 nt
Filed under: Lathyrus oleraceus (garden pea)
Lineage: Eukaryota; Viridiplantae; Streptophyta; Magnoliopsida; Fabales; Fabaceae
Description: Pisum sativum (pea) long non-coding RNA (PSAT_LNC034411)
Source: RNAcentral
UAAGAAAAUUAGUUCCUUGUAUGUGAAGCAUAAGUUUUCAUCAAACAUCUCUUUACUGACACAAAACAUGACACAGAAAAAGCCGCUAACACUGCAUAUUACCACUACCUUUCAAUACCAAACAAAAUCACUACAUCAAACAGACUAAGACUAAAGUAUAACUAAAACACACCUUGUUACACCUCUAUAUUAAGUUUUUCUCCCUCAAAUUUUUUAGUUUUGCUACAUAGAAUAGACAAAUAUUGGUCAAAACAUGAAACAUAGCUCUAAGGAAGGAAUCCAUU